GAUGAAGAACGUAGCGAAAUGCGAUAAGUAAUGUGAAUUGCAGAAUUCAGUGAAUCAUCGAAUCUUUGAACGCAUCUUGCGCUCCUUGGUAUUCCUUGGAGCAUGCCUGUUUGAGUAUCAUGAGCAAAUCUCAAAGUCAAUUUCUUUUGUUAAUUCAAUUGGUUUUGCUUUGGACUUGGAGGUCUUGCAGAUUUCACAGUCUGCUCCUCUUAAAUCCAUUAGCUGGAUCUCAGUAAUUAUGCUUGGUUCCACUCGGCGUGAUAAGUAUCACUCGCUGAGGACACUGUUAAAAAGGUGGCCAGGAAAAUACUGAUUGAACCGCUUCUAACGGUCUAUUAAGUUAGACAAUUGACCCCAUAAGUUUGAUCUCAAAUCAGGUAGGACUACCCGCUGAACUUAAGCAUAUCAAUAAGCGGAGGA
RNAcentral lists this unclassified non-coding RNA (420 nucleotides) under soil metagenome. RNAcentral describes it as "partial contains 5.8S ribosomal RNA, internal transcribed spacer 2, and large subunit ribosomal RNA". The stretch from base 1 to 120 matches the Rfam family "5.8S ribosomal RNA", at positions 35 to 154 of the family's 154-position model. The record is from RNAcentral.